UACGUAGGGUGUAAGCGUUAACCGGAAUUAUUGGGCGUAAAGGGUGCGCAGGCGGUUCUGUAAGUCAGAUGUGAAAUCCCCGGGCUUAACCUGGGAAUUGCGUUUGAAACUACAGGACUAGAGUGUGGCAGAGGGGGGUGGAAUUCCAUGUGUAGCAGUGAAAUGCGUAGAGAUGUGGAAGAACAUCGAUGGCGAAGGCAACCCCCUGGGUUGACACUGACGCUCAUGCACGAAAGCGUGGGGAGCAAACAGGAUUAGAUACCCUGGUAGUCCACGCCCUAAACUAUGUCAACUAGUUGUCGGGCCUUAAUAGGUUUGGUAACGUAGCUAACGCGUGAAGUUGACCGCCUGGGGAGUACGGUCGCAAGAUUAAAACUCAAAGGAAUUGACGG
This 392-nucleotide ribosomal RNA is filed under the name uncultured bacterium. Its description in RNAcentral is "bacterial SSU rRNA". It matches the Rfam family "Bacterial small subunit ribosomal RNA", at positions 524 to 916 of the family's 1533-position model. The record is from RNAcentral.